RNAcentral lists this long non-coding RNA (251 nucleotides) under Panax ginseng (ginseng). RNAcentral describes it as "long non-coding RNA (PGIN_LNC007942)". Lineage: Eukaryota; Viridiplantae; Streptophyta; Magnoliopsida; Apiales; Araliaceae. The record is from RNAcentral.
GAAAAAUCACAAAAACAUGUUAAUACAUCAUGUUAAAACAGAUCAAUAAUACCCCAACAAUCAAUAAAUCUAAAUAUGUUAUUACUGAUAUCGUGAGUGUGUGUUCAAGGACCAUGCUAACCAAUAACGAGCAAAAAUAGGAAAGAUAAUAGCUUUCUUUGAAGACAUCAUAUAGUAUAAACUUGAGAACUCAUCAAAUACACUUGAUUCAACUGAAAUUAAACAAUCACCAAAGUCCAGGGGUCAAAAAG